Molecule: ribosomal RNA, 486 nt
Filed under: uncultured bacterium
Lineage: Bacteria
Description: bacterial SSU rRNA
Rfam family: Bacterial small subunit ribosomal RNA
Source: RNAcentral
ACUCAAAGGAAUUGACGGGGCCCCGCACAAGCAGCGGAGCGUGUGGUUUAAUUCGAUGUUACACGAAGAACCUUACCAGGGUUUGACAUGCAAGUGGUAGGAAACUGAAAAGGGACCGACCCUUCGGGGAGCUUGCACAGGUGCUGCAUGGCUGUCGUCAGCUCGUGUCGUGAGAUGUUCGGUUAAGUCCGCUAACGAGCGCAACCCUCGCUGUGUGUUACAAGUGUCACACGGUACUGCCGGUCUUAAGCCGGAGGAAGGUGGGGAUGACGUCAAGUCAGCAUGGCCUUUAUAUCCUGGGCUACACACACGCUACAAUGGCCAACACAAUAGGUUGCUAAGUCGCGAGAUGGAGCCAAUCCAAUAAAGUUGGUCUCAGUUCAGAUUGUAGGCUGCAACUCGCCUGCAUGAAGAUGGAGUUGCUAGUAAACGCAGGUCAGCUAUACUGCGUUGAAUACGUUCCCGGGGCUUGUACACACCGCCCGU